CUCGUUCAGUCUUAAAUCGACUGUCGUUGGAGAUAGACGUUGUUGCUCUCGUUUAUUUUUGUUUAUUUUGCUUUUUGCGUUUGGUUGCAAUUUCGAUUUUAACGCGCGCGAAGUACACUUUUGUUUUUUUUUCUACAAUAUAAAACGUUCGUUCGUGGCCAUUGUCGUUCAAUAACGUUUAAAAAUGAUUUGCUUUUUUGUGUUUUUGCAUCCAUUAAAGAUUGAAUUAAAAAAAAUUCAAUUCAAUGAGUGAUUUCGUUCAUCUUUACUAGAAAAUGAAAAAGUAUUAAAUAUUAAAAUUUUACAAAUAUAAUUAUUAAUUAAAAUUAUUAAUACAAAAUACUAAAAGUGCAGUGCAUGUGCAUGUGCAACACCACAAAACGUGCACAUAAAAUUAUUUUAUGUAAAAAAUUAUAAAAAUACAGAAAAAGUAUCUACAAAAAAAAUUCUAAAAAAAUAUUUAUAAAAUAAAAUUGCAUAGAGUUUAUGAUGAUAUUCUACUUAUAAGAAAAAAGUGAGUUGCAAGCUCUCUGGCUUUGGAAUAAAACAAUCAAAGUAUUUUCAUCUAACCGCGGCGAUAUAAUUAAUUUUCGGUAAUAAUGAAGUUAGCACAGCAAUAAGUAUCUGCAAGUUCGUUUACCUGUUACAGUUGAAACAUGCAUUGAUUUUAGUUGUUUUUUAUACAAAUACAAAUUUUGUAUUUCAAAUAAAAAUCAAUAACAAAAAAAAAUUUAUUCAAAAACCAAACUAAAAAUUUUCAUCUUGGCAAAAAUUAGUUUCACCUUAAAGCCGCACUUAAGCACGCCUAUGUGUGUCGCUGCCUCUGUGCCUGAGUGUGCCUGUGCCUAUGUGUGUGUGUGUGUGUGUCUACAUAAUUCAUACAAAUCUGUUAUAACUAAAUAAAAAAAAAUAAAAUAAAAUAAAAGGUAAAUGCACUUCAAGAGCAAUAAACGUUACAUUGCAAACAAAUCACUUCGAGGUCAAUGGUUGGAAUAAUUAUUAUAGCUACGCGCAAGUGACGAGGACCUACAAAAUUUCGCAAUGCUAAAUUUUUUUUUUUUCGAAUUUCAUAACGCGAACUCGCCGAUUCUAAAGGAUUAACUCGAAAAUGUGAAGUGAAAUGCAAACAUUCGAUGCGAAGUUUUAAAAAUUUAGUUAAAUGCGUCCCCGAAUACAGAAAGUGGGAUUCGUCGAUGUCAAUGCCAAGAUUUUGUAUUUAUACCGUAUUCGGUGCAAAAUAAAAACCUUAUAACAAUAACAACAAUAUGACUAAUGAGUGUAUUAAAUGCAGGCACUGGCCAGAAUAAUUAUGACUGAUUAUGCUAAAGUAACGUUCAAACAAAAACUAUUGCAAAAAAUCAAAAAACUCAAAAAGCAACAACAACCAACACAAAUAUCAUAAAAUACUACAAUUUGCAUAAUCUAUUAACAUAUCGUUGUCUAUAUAUAAAAGAUAGUUAAAGUGUAUUUAGAUACAUCAAGUACUCAUAAAAGACUUAUUUUACUGCCUUCAGAUUAUCGCCUCUCAAUGAUUGACAAUACAUAAGCUAAAAGGCCCAUAACACAUUUAUCACGGCGGGUAACAUUUUGGACUUAAGUAUUCUCAAAUUUGACUAAAAAUUAAAAACAAGAAAAUCAAAUUUUCUACUAAAUAAAGAAUUUAUAUUUAAAAAAUCCUUCGUAUAUU
Molecule: long non-coding RNA, 1687 nt
Organism: Teleopsis dalmanni
Lineage: Eukaryota; Metazoa; Arthropoda; Insecta; Diptera; Diopsidae
Exons: 3
Source: RefSeq, a predicted model, not a curated record